RNAcentral lists this ribosomal RNA (437 nucleotides) under uncultured bacterium. RNAcentral describes it as "bacterial SSU rRNA". It matches the Rfam family "Bacterial small subunit ribosomal RNA", at positions 355 to 786 of the family's 1533-position model. The record is from RNAcentral.
UGAGGAAUAUUGGUCAAUGGGCGGGAGCCUGAACCAGCCAAGCCGCGUGAGGGAGGAAGGCCCUAUGGGUCGUAAACCUCUUUUGUCAGGGAACAAAAGCGAGUAUGUAUACUAGUCUGAGUGUACCUGAAGAAAAAGGCAUCGGCUAACUCCGUGCCAGCAGCCGCGGUAAUACGGAGGAUGCGAGCGUUAUCCGGAUUUAUUGGGUUUAAAGGGUGCGUAGGCGGCGGUGCAAGUCAGCGGUAAAAGCCCGGGGGCCUCAACCCCGGCGAGCCGUUGAAACUGCAGUGCUAGAGAAGGCGAGAGGUACGCGGAAUGCGCAGUGUAGCGGUGAAAUGCUUAGAUAUUGCGCAGAACUCCGAUUGCGAAGGCAGCGUACUGGCGCCUGACUGACGCUGAGGCACGAAAGGCGUGGGGAUCGAACAGGAUUAGAUACC